This 497-nucleotide ribosomal RNA is filed under the name uncultured bacterium. Its description in RNAcentral is "partial 16S ribosomal RNA". It matches the Rfam family "Bacterial small subunit ribosomal RNA", at positions 28 to 507 of the family's 1533-position model. The record is from RNAcentral.
GAUGAACGCUGGCGGCGUGCCUAAUACAUGCAAGUCGAGCGAACAGACGAGGAGCUUACUCCUCUGACGUUAGCGGCGGACGGGUGAGUAACACGUGGAUAACCUACCUAUAAGACUGGGAUAACUUCGGGAAACCGGAGCUAAUACCGGAUAAUAUUUUGAACCGCAUGGUUCAACAGUGAAAGACGGUCUUGCUGUCACUUAUAGAUGGAUCCGCGUCGCAUUAGCUAGUUGGUAAGGUAACGGCUUACCAAGGCAACGAUGCAUAGCCGACCUGAGAGGGUGAGCGGCCACACUGGAACUGAGACACGGUCCAGACUCCUACGGGAGGCAGCAGUAGGGAAUCUUCCGCAAUGGGCGAAAGCCUGACGGAGCAACGCCGCGUGAGUGAAGAAGGUCUUCGGAUCGUAAAACUCUGUUAUUAGGGAAGAACAAAUGUGUAAGUAACUAUGCACGUUUUGACGGUACCUAAUCAGAAAGCCACGGCUAACUACGUG